Molecule: ribosomal RNA, 367 nt
Filed under: uncultured bacterium
Lineage: Bacteria
Description: bacterial SSU rRNA
Rfam family: Bacterial small subunit ribosomal RNA
Source: RNAcentral
GACGAACGCUGGCGGCGUGCCUAAAACAUGCAAGUCGAACGGUGUAGCAAUACACAGUGGCGAACGGCGGAGUAAUACAUAAGCAACGUGCCCUGAAGACUGGGAUAGUCAGAGGAAACUCUGGGUAAUACCAGAUGUGGUCCCUUUCCGGCAUCGGAGAGUGAUUAAAUGGUUUUUCGCUUCUGGAGCGGCUUAUGGCCUAUCAGGUAGUUGGUGAGGUAACGGCUCACCAAGCCGACGACGGGUAGCGGGUCUGAGGAGGAUGAUCCGCUCGAGUGGGACUGAGACACGGCCCACACACCUACGGGUGGCAGCAGGUUGGGAAUCUUGCAACAAGUGGGGAAACCCUGAUGCAGCGACGCCGCGU